This 72-nucleotide transfer RNA is filed under the name Mycobacterium phage Jeon. RNAcentral describes it as "tRNA-Gly". RNAcentral also lists the same sequence under 4 other names. Lineage: Duplodnaviria; Heunggongvirae; Uroviricota; Caudoviricetes. The record is from RNAcentral.
GCGCGACUGGUGUAACUGGAACACAACCCGCUUCCAGCGGGAGGCUCCCCGUUCGUGACGGGGGUCGCGCUC